This 245-nucleotide ribosomal RNA is filed under the name uncultured bacterium. RNAcentral describes it as "partial 16S ribosomal RNA". It matches the Rfam family "Bacterial small subunit ribosomal RNA", at positions 524 to 768 of the family's 1533-position model. The record is from RNAcentral.
UACAGAGACCUCAAGCAUUAUCCGGAUUUAUUGGGCGUAAAGCGUCCGCAGGUUGUUUGGUAAGUUGAGGGUCAAAAUCCCGAGCUUAACUCGGGAAUCGCCUUCAAAACUAUCAAACUUGAGGAUGGAAGAGGUGAGCGGAAUUCUCGGUGUAGUCGUAAUAAGCGUUGAUAUCGAGAAGAACACCAAAUGCGAAAGCAGCUCACUAGUACAUUCCUGACACUCAGGGACGAAAGCGUGGGGAG